ACCCUGUCCCUCACCUGCACAGUCUCUGGUGACUCCAUCACAACCAGUAGUUAUGACUGGAGCUGGAUCGGCCAGCUCUCAGGGAAGGGGCUGGAGUGGAUACCACACCUCCAUCACCAGGGACACAUCCAAGAACCAGUUUUUCCUGCAGCUGAGCUCUGUGACAGAUGAGGACACAGGCGUGUAUUACUGUGCGAGAGACACAGUGACAGGAAGUCAGU
Non-coding RNA from Galeopterus variegatus (Sunda flying lemur), 221 nucleotides. NCBI's taxonomy places the organism in Eukaryota, Metazoa, Chordata, Mammalia, Dermoptera, Cynocephalidae. The record is from the annotation of a RefSeq genome assembly.